GCGCCGCCCAACUCAAGCAUAAAACUCAGCCGCGCCCAUCUUCUGCUCGCACGGACCGCGCCUCCUUCCCCCUGCUGUAGCUCGCGCCCUGCUCUUCUGCUCGUUUCUUCUCGCGCGAAGCUCCCUCCCAUGGCGUCAAUCUCGCUGUUCGGCAGUUCUCUGGAAGCCGUACCCUGCUCGCCCAGCUCGCGAAACCCUCUGCGCGCGGACCUCUCUCAUCCCCAUGGCGUCUUCCCCUGCUGGUUCGCCGGCGCCCGAGCUCCCUCUGCCCGUCAAUUGCCUCAGCCCGGGAGUUCGUCUGCUUUCCCCGCUCGUCCUUCCCUCAAAAUCGCCUGACCGCGCGACCUCCAUGGAGCUCCCUUCAGUUCUUCGCAAUUCGUGGCCGCGUCCCUCAGCUCGCUCUCCCAUGCCGCACCCAGCCCCUGCUCUGCUCGCCGUGGAGCUCGCCUCCGACCCCUGCUUGCCGCGUUCCUGCGCGCCGUCGCCUUGCUGCGUGCGUCGUGGUUUUCUUCCUCUGCGCGCCAGGCUGUUCCGGAGCUUCCUUUGCUCCAUUCCUUGGUUGCGUGUCGAGCCCCUCGCGCAGGCCGCGAGCUGUCUGUUCGCCGUAGUCGGAGCCGUUCUCAGUUGCUCGCCGUCGAAGCUCCCCUGUUGGCUGCGUCCUGCAUGUCCUGCAUGCGCUCACUCCUCAUCCAUCGGUUUCUGGCGGGUUUACCUUUAGCGUCGAGUCGUCAAACCCGUCAUCCUCUGCUCAAACCCACCUCGUCAGCUCGCUCCAGACAUAAUCCUGUCGUCGUUCUGUGCGUCGGGUGAAUACGAAGCUAGCCGAGUAAUAUUCAUCGAGUGCGUGACCAAAAAGCUCGAACCAGUCGUCAAUCGUCUCAACAACAACCGUAUCCACGACUCCCACCGUUCCAAUAAUUUUGCCGCAUCGCCCUUCAAAUCCGAGACCUCGUCCGUAGGAUCGUCGUUGACCUCGCAACUUCAGCUCGAGUUAAUUAUGGACGAUAAAUAAUCGCGUGAUGCGGAAAAGAUGACCCAAGUCGACCCCAAGCGCGGGCUAAUCUGCAAGCUGAAGCUGAUGAAUCAAUCUGAAGAUGGUUAAAUCAAACAAGUGCUCGGUCGAAGAAUACUCGUCAAGCGGACAUCACCUAACAACACUAACCUAGUGUUACUCAGGCAAGCCCCGGUGCAUGCAACCCCUUUCCUUGUGUUUUUAAAUAAUUUUCGCCCACUUUAAGUCUAGUGAAAUGUGCAUUAGGUUCAUAGGAGUUGCUUGAAACCCUUUGAUGCAUUGCUUUCCUUGAUAUUCAUACCUUUAUAGAUACUUCUGUGAAGUAUCAAACUAUGAUUUACAAAAAUGCUUAGCCUUGCUUAGAUCUUGUGGAUAGAGGUUGUCCUCAGUCUAACCCGGGAGAGGAUGGCUUCUACCUGCAAGAAUAUUUUCAUUCGGAGCAAUAGUGGGAUCUUACUGCAAAGUUCCCUGUGAUGCUCUUUCAAUCCUAAGGAACAGACACAAUCCUAAGGAUGGAAAUAAUUAAAUUGAGACUUGGGUUAGGAACAGGUGAUGUUCUACCCAGGUUGGUUAAGGAUUAAUGCGUAUGUAGGCGUGCUGACCGAGGACCCUUUAACUGGUCACAUGCCUCGUCAUGGGUAAGCCUUGCCUCGGGCAGACUAAGGCCAGAAUAAGAUAACACGAAAUGGGCGUGGAGCGGUGGCGAGAGUAGUGUGUACCCUCCGUGGCAAGAGGCUGGACGGUGGUGUAUCUGUGCUCUCGGUUUGCGUGAACCUGAUCUGGUCUUAAGAACCCCGGUGGCGGGUUAACAUAUGCAAGGGUUAAGUGCUACAUAUGUCGUGUGAUUGGAGAUCCUGAGCUGAGUAUAAUCGAUUCGGAUCGCCGUACCUUCGCGGUUAUGAAGACUUGGUCACUUUUCUACAACCUAAAGUCAGGAUGUGAACACUAUGGAUAAAAAUGAUGUUGUAUUGAUGAGAUGUUGAAAUUAGACUAGAUGCAAAUAGAGUCUAUUAAUACUUAAUAUGGCGUUAAAAGAUUGAAAGUAAGGACUCACUUUAGUAAGCUACUUCUGCAAAAAUAUAAGUUGAUUUUUGCUAAAGCCUCUCCUUGACUCCUAUUUAUCCAGCAUACCCUUGAGAGUCUUUUCUUUAGUCGGGUAAGACUUGCUGAGUAAUUCCAUACUCAGGGUUUUAUUCUCUGGAACAUUGCUAGGAUGCCAUCACGUCAAGGGCCCACGAUGAGUUGUAGACAUUGUUACACAUAUCUAAUCGUUCAGCUUGGG
Zea mays is the source of this 2294-nucleotide long non-coding RNA. RefSeq lists it as uncharacterized. The record is from RefSeq and is marked validated. Lineage: Eukaryota; Viridiplantae; Streptophyta; Magnoliopsida; Poales; Poaceae. The transcript is spliced from 2 exons.